Non-coding RNA from Pantherophis guttatus, 699 nucleotides. The record is from RefSeq and is a predicted model, not a curated record. NCBI's taxonomy places the organism in Eukaryota, Metazoa, Chordata, Lepidosauria, Squamata, Colubridae.
GAAAUUUUCCUGGAUUAUCUAAAAAGAGCCAAACUGACUAACUAUGGGACAUAUAGAACCAUAUUACUGUAUUUCUGGAGGAGCAAUACCAGGACUGAGUGAAUGGUUUCCAGGUCGACUUUCUGAGGGCAAAAAUAAUUGAGACUCUGGGGCAGUGAUAGAACAUUGACAGAUUACUGAACGAUAUUUGGAUUUAUCAAAAAAGAAGGCAAGAUGUUUCAGCAGGGGGAAAUAAGUGGGUUGCAAAAAGAAUUGGUGGCAAUGUUUCAAAGCAUUCAGGAUACCAUGACAAGGAAUUACAGAGAGAUAAUGGACUUAAUGAAUAACAUAAAUGGGAAGUUAGAAAGUGCUCCACAAGAGAUAAUGAAUAAUGAUAAAAAAGCCCAGGAAAUAGAGGAGACAAUGGAGAGACCAGGGGAAAAGACAGAACUAAAUAAACAAACAAAACAAGAAAAGGGAGAAGAGAAGAACUGCAGAUAUCAAGGAAUAAUGCAACACAAGGCACAGAGCCCUCUACAAGACAACAUAGAAGUACAAAGAUGGUGUAUGCAGAGUCAAUGAGAUGACUUGAAGCUUAGGAAGAUGAACUGUAUGCACCUGGAAGAGUAAGGGAUAAUGGGCGCAAUCAUAAGGGAGAGCUGUAUUUCCUUUGGAAAUAGUUUACAAAUAAAAUGAGAAGAGAAUAAAAUGGAUCAUUCA